This 353-nucleotide ribosomal RNA is filed under the name uncultured bacterium. Its description in RNAcentral is "bacterial SSU rRNA". It matches the Rfam family "Bacterial small subunit ribosomal RNA", at positions 28 to 372 of the family's 1533-position model. The record is from RNAcentral.
GACGAACGCUGGCGGCGUGCUUAACACAUGCAAGUCGAACGAGAUCCAUGGAGUAGCAAUACUCCGGAAGAUCUAGUGGCGAACGGGUGAGUAACACGUGAGCAACCUGCCCCAAAGACUGGGAUAACCCCGGGAAACCGGAGCUAAUACCGGAUGUCCUCGUCGGAUCGCAUGAUCUGAUGAGGAAAUGAAUUUCGCUUUGGGGAGGGGCUCGCGGGAUAUCAGCUUGUUGGUGGGGUAAUGGCCUACCAAGGCUUCGACGUCUAGCUGGUCUGAGAGGACGAUCAGCCACACUGGGACUGAGACACGGCCCAGACUCCUACGGGAGGCAGCAGUGGGGAAUCUUGCCCAAU